RNAcentral lists this small RNA (25 nucleotides) under Arabidopsis thaliana (thale cress). Its description in RNAcentral is "ATSL219430". Lineage: Eukaryota; Viridiplantae; Streptophyta; Magnoliopsida; Brassicales; Brassicaceae. The record is from RNAcentral.
CUGGAAUUCUCCGAUGCCGGGAAAC